Molecule: ribosomal RNA, 253 nt
Filed under: uncultured bacterium
Lineage: Bacteria
Description: partial 16S ribosomal RNA
Rfam family: Bacterial small subunit ribosomal RNA
Source: RNAcentral
UACGUAGGUGACAAGCGUUGUCCGGAUUUACUGGGCGUAAAGAGCGCGCAGGCGGUCGAUCAAGUCGAGUGUGAAAGCCCCGGGCUCAACCUGGGAACUGCAUUUGAGACUGCUCUGCUCGGGUGCGGAAGAGGGAAGCGGAAUUUCCGGUGUAGCGGUGAAAUGCGUAGAUAUCGGAAGGAACACCAGUGGCGAAAGCGGCUUCCUGGUCCGACACCGACGUUCAGGCACGAAAGCGUGGGGAGCAAACAGG